This 705-nucleotide ribosomal RNA is filed under the name uncultured bacterium. RNAcentral describes it as "bacterial SSU rRNA". It matches the Rfam family "Bacterial small subunit ribosomal RNA", at positions 60 to 754 of the family's 1533-position model. The record is from RNAcentral.
AGUCGAGGGGCAGCAUUUUAGUUUGCUUGCAACUAAAGAUGGCGACCGGCGCACGGGUGAGUAACACGUAUCCAACCUGCCGAUAACUCGGGGAUAGCCUUUCGAAAGAAAGAUUAAUAUCCGAUAGUAUAUUAAAACCGCAUGGUUUUACUAUUAAAGAAUUUCGGUUAUCGAUGGGGAUGCGUUCCAUUAGUUUGUUGGCGGGGUAACGGCCCACCAAGACUACGAUGGAUAGGGGUUCUGAGAGGAAGGUCCCCCACAUUGGAACUGAGACACGGUCCAAACUCCUACGGGAGGCAGCAGUGAGGAAUAUUGGUCAAUGGACGAGAGUCUGAACCAGCCAAGUAGCGUGAAGGAUGACUGCCCUAUGGGUUGUAAACUUCUUUUAUAUGGGAAUAAAGUAUUCCACGUGUGGAAUUUUGUAUGUACCAUAUGAAUAAGGAUCGGCUGACUCCGUGCCAGCAGCCGCGGUAAUACGGAGGAUCCGAGCGUUAUCCGGAUUUAUUGGGUUUAAAGGGAGCGUAGGUGGAUUGUUAAGUCAGUUGUGAAAGUUUGCGGCUCAACCGUAAAAUUGCAGUUGAAACUGGCAGUCUUGAGUACAGUAGAGGUGGGCGGAAUUCGUGGUGUAGCGGUGAAAUGCUUAGAUAUCACGAAGAACUCCGAUUGCGAAGGCAGCUCACUAGACUGCAACUGACACUGAUGCUC